This 484-nucleotide ribosomal RNA is filed under the name uncultured bacterium. Its description in RNAcentral is "partial 16S ribosomal RNA". It matches the Rfam family "Bacterial small subunit ribosomal RNA", at positions 28 to 507 of the family's 1533-position model. The record is from RNAcentral.
GUUGAACGCUGGCGGCGGGCCUAACACAUGCAAGUCGAGCGGAUAAACGAGGAUUGCGCCUGGCUGACGCUACCGACGGACGGGUGAUUCCUACGUGGCUAACUGGUCUAUAGGGAUGGGAUAACGUCGGGAAACCUGAUCCAACAUCCGUCAAUAUGGAGAAACUGAGGGAUCUUCGGAGCACGCGGUAUCUGCUGACACUAGGUCGGAUUAGCUAGUUGGUGGGGUAAAGGCCUACCAAGGCGACGAUCCGUAACUGACCUGAGAGGCUGAUCAGCCACACUGGAACUGAGACACGGUCCAGACUCCUACGGGAGGCAGCAGUGGGGAAUAUUGGACAAUGGGCGAAAGCCUGAUCCAGCCAUGCCGCGUGUGUGAAGAAGGUCUUCGGAUCGUAAAGCUCUGUAAGUUGGGAGGAAGGGCAGUAAGAUAAUACCUUGCUGUCUUGACGGUACCAACAGAAAAAGCCCCGGCUAACUUCGUG